This is an RNA transcript of Balaenoptera ricei (Rice's whale), 3771 nucleotides long. It is a transcript of the gene named cyclin dependent kinase 20, with no coding region annotated. The transcript is spliced from 9 exons. Lineage: Eukaryota; Metazoa; Chordata; Mammalia; Artiodactyla; Balaenopteridae. The record is from RefSeq and is a predicted model, not a curated record.
CAUCACGUGACGCCCGGCAGUGCCGCGAGGGGUCGGCGGUGGCUCUCGCUCCCGCUGGCACGGUCUGCGCACGGGUGAUUCCCGCCGAAUGAAGCGCACUGUGGCGUGAUGGCGAGGGCCUAGGGGAAGGCGCAGACAGGCCUGGACGCCGCCUGUAGCUGCCUUCGGCCUCCCGGCCUCUGCGCUCUUUCCUGCGCCGUUGCUAGGCAGCCGCAUCUGGGCGCGGGAGGCAGGGCGGGCUAAUGCGGAAAGACUGGAGAGAUCGUUGCCCUCAAGAAGGUGGCCCUGCGGCGGCUGGAGGAUGGCAUCCCCAACCAGGCCCUGCGGGAGAUCAAGGCCUUGCAGGAGAUCGAGGACAGUCAGUAUGGCCUGGCAGGCUAGGCACUAAUUGCAUGUUGACUGACCAGCUACUCUUCUGGGUCUGGAAUGAGGCUUCAAGGACCAAGGAACUGUGGAGGAUCCUAGCUCCCCGACCAGGGAUAGAACCCAGGCCCUCAGCAGUGAAAGCGCAGAGUCCUAACCACUGGACCACCAGGGAAUUCCCUGAAAGCUCAUUCUUGUCUGAAGAGUACCAUUCUGUGUGGCCCCAGAUAAAUUUUUCCAGCAAAGGAAACCAUAAACAAGAUGAAAAGGCAACCCUCAGAAUGGGAGAAAAUAUUUGCAAACGAAUCACGGACAAAGGAUUAAUCUCCAAAAUAUAUAAACAGCUCAUUCAGCUCAAUAUUAAAGAAACAAACAACCCAAUCGAAAAAUGGGCAGAAGACCUAAAUAGACAUUUCUCCAAAGAAGACAUACAGAUGGACAAGAAGCACAUGAAAAGCUGCUCAACAUCACUAAUUAUUAAAGAAAUGCAAAUCAAAACUACAAUGAGGUAUCACCUCACACCAGUUCGAGUGGGCAUCAUCAGAAAAUCUACAAACAACAAAUGCUGGAGAGGGUGUGGAGAAAAGGGAACCCUCUUGCACUGUUGGUGGGAAUGUAAAUUGAUGCAGCCACUAUGGAGAACAAUAUGGAGGUUCCUUAAAAAACUAAAGAUAGAAUUACCAUAUGAUCCAGCAAUCCCACUACUGGGCAUAUACCCAGAGAAAACCGUAAUUCAAAAAGACACAUGCACCCCAAUGUGCAUUGCAGCACUAUUUACAAUAGCCAGGUCAUGGAACCAACCUAAAUGCCCAUGGACAGACAAAUGGAUAAAGAAGUUGUGGUACAUAUAUACAAUGGAAUAUUACUCAGCCAUAAAAAGGAACGAAAUUGAGUCAUUUGUUAAGACGUGGAUGGAUCUAGAGACUGUCAUACAGAGUGAAGCAGCUGUGUCUGAGAUGCUGGUCCUCCUGUAAAGCCUCCCAGACGACCCUGGGCACACAGACAUGGACACAGUACUAUCUCUGCUGAUCCGAGCUGGAGUUCCGAAUGGAAUCUGGGUGGCCAGAGAAGGACUUUAUCUGCAAAGCCAUUGCUGGGCACAAAGGAGAGAUAGAUGAGCUGGCCUACAUCUCAACCAAAGAGUACUGGUUUGAUGGGCGGGAGAAGUCCGUGGUGUGCACCGUGUCGUCAGAUGGCACCGUGUGUGCCUGGGAUCUGCAAGAGGGCACGGAGAUCUGUCGAGCCCUCUACAGCCUGCAGCUCCGGUGAAUUUGGUGACUUACCCUCGGCUGCAACUGGUUGUCACCGUGGACGAGCGGGGACUGAUCAAAGUAUGGAAAGCAGAGAACGGGUGUGAGCAAGCCUCCUGCCUGCCUACAUACUGUGACUUUCCAGAAGGCCCCCUCCUGCUGCAAGGAGACUCCAGUGGCUGUGCGGAGCCUGCAGGAUGCUACCUCCACGUCCCAAGGCAUAAUACGUACCUGGGAACAGAGAGUCACCUGUGAUCUGAACCUGAACCUGUGAUCACCUCUGUCACCACUAGGGCCCAGAUGUAGCCCUCAGCUUUCACUUUGAUGGUGUGCUGUGCGGGGCUGAGGUCGGUAGGUUUUGUAUCAGAAGCACUGAUUUUCUUGAGGUUGCCCUGUCGGAGGAUGGGGCAGGAUCAACCCCCUACACAAAAUUUGGCUCAGAUUUGGAGACUGCUGACUUUACACAUGCACCAGUGGGGUACGGAAAAGGGUAUCCCCCCAAAAUUCAGGUCUACCCAGAGCCUCAGAAUGUGACCUUCUUUGGAAACGGUGCUGCUGCGAUGUAUGUAUGUAUUUAUUUAUUUAACAUCUUUGUUGGAGUAUAAUUGCUUUACAAUGGUGUGUUAGUUUCUGCUUUAUAACAAAGUGAAUCAGCUGUACAUGUACAUAUAUCCCCAUAUCUCCUCCCUCUUGCAUCUCCCUGCCACCCUCCCUAUUCUGCGAUGUAUUUAGUUAAGGAUCUCAAGAUGCAAUCAUCCUGGAUUUAGUCUGGGCCCUUAAUCUAACGGUAUCUUGCUAAGAAAAGGAGAGGGCACAGAGACACACACAGAGAAGCCAUGUGCAGAUGCCGCAGACAUUGGAGUGUGCUGUUACACGCCAAGGAAAGCCCUAGAACCUUCAGAGGAAGCAGAGCCCUGCUGGUACCUUGACUUUGGGCCUCUAGCCUCCAGAACUGUGAGGGAGUAAAUUUUUGUUUUUUUAAGCCACCCUGUUUUGUUACUUCAGCCCUAGGAAAUUAAUACAAGACUCAUCUAAAACAGAACACUUAAGGAGGAUGGAAUUAAAAGGAUGGGAAAAGGCGUUGGAGAUGCCAACCAGAAGCAAGCUCACACAGCUGGUAAUGUUAGACGAGAAGACCGGAAGAUCAAAGUGUUUACUAGAUCUUAGGGAUCAUUUCAAAAUAAUAAUUUGAUCAGCCUCCCAGAAAGAUACAGCGAGGCUAAUUUUGAAUGCACUUUAAAGUAUGGCCUAAAAUAUAUAUGGAACAAAAAUGUGUGGAAUUUCAAGGAGAAAUGGUUAAAGUUACAAGCAUCACGAGAAAUUUCUGUUACCUGGCUAAAGAGAGAUGAUCUGGGCGGGCCCACUUUAAUUCCAUGAGUGCUUCAAAGGCAGAGUUUUCUCUGACUGGUCACAGAAGAGGAAGUCAGAGACUCACGGGUGCGGGGGCCUCCCGUGCUGGCUGCCAGGCUGUCGGUGGGCCUGAGGACAAGAAUAGUCUCUGCCACCAGCCAGCAGGCAGGGAAACCUUAGUUCUGUAGCCACAGUGUCCUGGACUGCCAACGACCUGAAUGGGGCCCCAGUGAGAACCCAGCACCUUGACGCCUUGGCUUAGCUUUGUGUGACUUCGUCUCACGGGUUAUUGGGAAGAUGAUCUACAUAUAGGUCUGUGGCUCAUUUCAAGUUAAAUUAUAUUUGUGUGCAUGGUCAGCGUCAGGGUUCAUUUUUAUUUACAAAUGGGUAUCCAGAAUUUGUAGGAAAGACCAUCCUUUCUUCAUCAAAUUAUAUCAUCACCUUCGUUUGUCAAAAUAUCAAAUGACUGUAUGUGUUAUAUGUGUUAUAUGUUGAACAUGUGGGUCAGUCUCCACUGAUCUGUUUGUCUGUCCUCAUGACAGUAACACAGGGUCUUGUUUCCCACAGAUUACAGUUAAGUCGUGACCUCCAGCAUUUUCUUUUUUGGAAAAUAUAUCCAUUUCCAUAAAAUUUGUCAAGUCAGCUUGGAAAUUUCUACAAAACUGCUUACUGGGAUUUUGAUUACUUUGAAUCUAUAGAUUGAUUUGGGGAUAACUGACAUCUUAAUGUUUAGUCUUCUAAGCCAUGAACAUGGCAUAUAUGACCCCAUUUAUAUAGGCCUUCAUUUAUUUCUCUCAACAAAGCUUUG